This 498-nucleotide ribosomal RNA is filed under the name uncultured bacterium. RNAcentral describes it as "partial 16S ribosomal RNA". It matches the Rfam family "Bacterial small subunit ribosomal RNA", at positions 30 to 523 of the family's 1533-position model. The record is from RNAcentral.
AUUGAACGCUGGCGGCAUGCCUUACACAUGCAAGUCGAACGGUAACAGGUCUUCGGAUGCUGACGAGUGGCGAACGGGUGAGUAAUACAUCGGAACGUGCCUAGUAGUGGGGGAUAACUACUCGAAAGAGUGGCUAAUACCGCAUGAGAUCUACGGAUGAAAGCAGGGGAUCGCAAGACCUUGUGCUACUAGAGCGGCCGAUGGCAGAUUAGGUAGUUGGUGGGAUAAAAGCUUACCAAGCCGACGAUCUGUAGCUGGUCUGAGAGGACGAUCAGCCACACUGGGACUAAGACACGGCCCAGAGUCCGACGGGAGGCGGCAGUGGGGAAUUUUGGACAAUGGGCGAAAGCCUGAUCCAGCAAUGCCGCGUGCAGGAUGAAGGCCUUCGGGUUGUAAACUGCUUUUGUACGGAACGAAAAGCCCCGGGUUAAUACCCUGGGGUCAUGACGGUACCGUAAGAAUAAGCACCGGCUAACUACGUGCCAGCCGCCGCCGUAA